AGAAGAAAUAGAGAGAAUCAGGGGGACUUGUUAGUUUCUUCGGACUAGACAAUGGAAGGAGAAGGAUUCUGCAGCGAUUGGGGAGAGAUAGUUUCAGAGAAGGUUGUUUCGGCUUACAUGUCUCUCCCGAAGAAGGGAAAACCUCAGGGACGUGAAGUCACCGUCCUAUCCGCUUUCCUUGUCUCUUCUCCUUCCCAAUCCCAAAACCCGGAAGUUAUAGCGUUGGGAACGGGGACCAAGUGCGUUAGUCGGUCGCUGUUGAGUCCCCGUGGGGACAUUGUGAACGAUUCUCAUGCCGAAGUUGUCGCCAGAAGAGCUCUCAUGAGGCUCUUCUAUUCCGAGAUUCAGCGGAUGCAACUGACUUCGGAUAAUGAGGCCAAGCGACAGAGACGUGAAAGCUCAAUACUAGAGUCAGCGGACCCAAGCCGUCCUGGAGAAGUGAAAUAUAAGCUCAAAUCUGGGUGUCAAUUGCAUUUGUACAUUUCUCAAUUGCCAUGUGGUUAUGCUUCUACUAGUUCACCUUUGUAUGCCCUGAAAAAUAUUCCAUCAACACAUAUAGAUGACGCAUUGUUAGUUCGAGGCUCGUCUGGGCAUUCUGAUGUUCUAGAGAUAGGUAAUAGCAACAAAGGUAAUGGCUCACAAGUAACAGAUAUGGUGCAAAGAAAGCCUGGUCGUGGUGAAACCACACUCUCUGUUAGCUGUUCAGAUAAGAUAGCUCGAUGGAAUGUUCUUGGAGUUCAAGGGGCAUUGCUUUGCCAAGUCCUUCAGCCUGUGUAUAUUUCUACCAUCACUGUUGGACAAUCUCUGCACUUUCCUAACAGUUUUUCUUUGGCUGAUCACUUGCAAAAAUCUUUGCAUGAGAGGAUCCUUCCAUUAUCAGAUGAGCUUCUGACUUCCUUCCGUCUGAACAAGCCACUGUUUUUUGUAGCUCCAGUACCACCAUCAGAAUUUCAGCAUUCAGAAACUGAUCAAGCUACCAUAACAUGCGGGUAUUCCUUGUGUUGGAACCAUUAUGGGUUACACGAAGUUAUUCUUGGCACAACCGGUAGAAAGCAAGGUACCUCAGCUAAGGGAGCUCUGUAUCCGUCUACUCAAUCAUGUAUAUGCAAGCAGCGGUUACUCGAACUAUUCUUGAAAGAAGCACAUGGGCACGAAAGUGAAUCUUUUAAGUCAAUAAGAUCUUAUCGAGAACUGAAGGACAAAGCUACGGAAUAUUCUUUGAUGUCAAAGAUUUUUAAAGGCAAGUAUCCAUUCAACAAUUGGCUAAGAAAACCAUUGAAUUACGAAGAUUUUCUGAUAAAUUAAUCUUGAGGUGACCUGAAGCAAGUAGAUGUCUCAGUUAUCACAAAGUCUACUUUUCCAAAUCAUUAAAAGAAGCAAGGGCGAGGAGUUGUGUACCAUGCGAUGAAAAAGAUCUUGCUCUUCUGGCAAUUCUCAGGAGUGGUGAAAUCAAAGUCAUAGACAGCAUACCGGCACUCGUCCUCUGGAAUGGAUCUGGUAAAAUCGUCAACUUGAGCUUGCACUCAUCGCUUACAUGCAUCCCAGAAGCUGAAUUAGCCUGCACAAACAAAACACACGCAUAGUGAACUUAUAUGAUCACAACAUAUUACCUGAUUGAUUGGUGAUACAAUUGAUUAAAAAAAAAGUAGAAACUGAAAUGUAGGAACAUACCAUGUUUUCUGCUUGAAAUUGAAGCUGAUGAUCUGAAAGUAGAGAAGGUAGGGGGUGGUUUUAGAGGGUGAGAAGAAGGAAUAGACAAGUAGGUUCGGUUGAGUCGUUAGGCUGGUCACGUCUUAAAACCAAGAAGACUUUGAUGGUGUCACGUUGUAGCCAUAUUUACUUCAUUAGAAAUAUUAGAGGGAGUCUACAUAUUAUAUUCAAGCGUACACAUGUAUGUAUGUAAAGCACAUGUGGUGAAGUUUGUUUUUGUUCCGGGCAUCAUUGGUGAGUUGAGGAGGUUUCAUGAUGUACAUGUUUUCUUUCUUUUUAUUAAAACUUUUGGACUUUUUCUUU
RNA transcript from Capsella rubella, 2013 nucleotides. It is a transcript of the gene named tRNA-specific adenosine deaminase 1, with no coding region annotated. Lineage: Eukaryota; Viridiplantae; Streptophyta; Magnoliopsida; Brassicales; Brassicaceae. The record is from RefSeq and is a predicted model, not a curated record. The transcript has 11 exons.